AGAAGACGAGUCCUGAGCUCCAGUCAAGGCCUCGGAUCAGUGAGAGGAUGUGCAGACGUCAGCGUCCCGAGGUUAUGGAACUGCCAUCAGGCAUCUACAGAGACACUGAGGACAAACACAUCACAAACAGCACAGCACAGUUGCUACUCCUGAGAAUCACAGUGGAUGGCCAGGAACCCAUCAUCAGGUCAAAUUUCAUUCUCUGUUUACAGGGAUCAGCUAGUCUUUUCAUCCCUUCAUUGUGUUUAUUGCAAAAAUCUAUCCCCAGACAAAACUCACUGUAUGGGAUUCCACAUGCAAAUGAUGCAUAAUAUUUGCUGCUAAGAGUAUUAACUAUGCUCAGGGAGAUGUCUAAUCACAUGUAAUUUUCAUGGGCUGAUUUCCAUAA
Long non-coding RNA from Seriola aureovittata, 388 nucleotides. RefSeq lists it as uncharacterized. The transcript is spliced from 3 exons. NCBI's taxonomy places the organism in Eukaryota, Metazoa, Chordata, Actinopteri, Carangiformes, Carangidae. The record is from RefSeq and is a predicted model, not a curated record.